UUAAGCGACUAAGCGUACACGGUGGAUGCCCUGGCAGUCAGAGGCGAUGAAGGACGUGCUAAUCUGCGAUAAGCGUCGGUAAGGUGAUAUGAACCGUUAUAACCGGCGAUUUCCGAAUGGGGAAACCCAGUGUGUUUCGACACACUAUCAUUAACUGAAUCCAUAGGUUAAUGAGGCGAACCGGGGGAACUGAAACAUCUAAGUACCCCGAGGAAAAGAAAUCAACCGAGAUUCCCCCAGUAGCGGCGAGCGAACGGGGAGCAGCCCAGAGCCUGAAUCAGUGUGUGUGUUAGUGGAAGCGUCUGGAAAGGCGCGCGAUACAGGGUGACAGCCCCGUACACAAAAAUGCACAUGCUGUGAGCUCGAUGAGUAGGGCGGGACACGUGGUAUCCUGUCUGAAUAUGGGGGGACCAUCCUCCAAGGCUAAAUACUCCUGACUGACCGAUAGUGAACCAGUACCGUGAGGGAAAGGCGAAAAGAACCCCGGCGAGGGGAGUGAAAAAGAACCUGAAACCGUGUACGUACAAGCAGUGGGAGCACGCUUAGGCGUGUGACUGCGUACCUUUUGUAUAAUGGGUCAGCGACUUAUAUUCUGUAGCAAGGUUAACCGAAUAGGGGAGCCGAAGGGAAACCGAGUCUUAACUGGGCGUUAAGUUGCAGGGUAUAGACCCGAAACCCGGUGAUCUAGCCAUGGGCAGGUUGAAGGUUGGGUAACACUAACUGGAGGACCGAACCGACUAAUGUUGAAAAAUUAGCGGAUGACUUGUGGCUGGGGGUGAAAGGCCAAUCAAACCGGGAGAUAGCUGGUUCUCCCCGAAAGCUAUUUAGGUAGCGCCUCGUGAAUUCAUCUCCGGGGGUAGAGCACUGUUUCGGCAAGGGGGUCAUCCCGACUUACCAACCCGAUGCAAACUGCGAAUACCGGAGAAUGUUAUCACGGGAGACACACGGCGGGUGCUAACGUCCGUCGUGAAGAGGGAAACAACCCAGACCGCCAGCUAAGGUCCCAAAGUCAUGGUUAAGUGGGAAACGAUGUGGGAAGGCCCAGACAGCCAGGAUGUUGGCUUAGAAGCAGCCAUCAUUUAAAGAAAGCGUAAUAGCUCACUGGUCGAGUCGGCCUGCGCGGAAGAUGUAACGGGGCUAAACCAUGCACCGAAGCUGCGGCAGCGACGCUUAUGCGUUGUUGGGUAGGGGAGCGUUCUGUAAGCCUGUGAAGGUGUACUGUGAGGUAUGCUGGAGGUAUCAGAAGUGCGAAUGCUGACAUAAGUAACGAUAAAGCGGGUGAAAAGCCCGCUCGCCGGAAGACCAAGGGUUCCUGUCCAACGUUAAUCGGGGCAGGGUGAGUCGACCCCUAAGGCGAGGCCGAAAGGCGUAGUCGAUGGGAAACAGGUUAAUAUUCCUGUACUUGGUGUUACUGCGAAGGGGGGACGGAGAAGGCUAUGUUGGCCGGGCGACGGUUGUCCCGGUUUAAGCGUGUAGGCUGGUUUUCCAGGCAAAUCCGGAAAAUCAAGGCUGAGGCGUGAUGACGAGGCACUACGGUGCUGAAGCAACAAAUGCCCUGCUUCCAGGAAAAGCCUCUAAGCAUCAGGUAACAUCAAAUCGUACCCCAAACCGACACAGGUGGUCAGGUAGAGAAUACCAAGGCGCUUGAGAGAACUCGGGUGAAGGAACUAGGCAAAAUGGUGCCGUAACUUCGGGAGAAGGCACGCUGAUAUGUAGGUGAAGUCCCUCGCGGAUGGAGCUGAAAUCAGUCGAAGAUACCAGCUGGCUGCAACUGUUUAUUAAAAACACAGCACUGUGCAAACACGAAAGUGGACGUAUACGGUGUGACGCCUGCCCGGUGCCGGAAGGUUAAUUGAUGGGGUUAGCGCAAGCGAAGCUCUUGAUCGAAGCCCCGGUAAACGGCGGCCGUAACUAUAACGGUCCUAAGGUAGCGAAAUUCCUUGUCGGGUAAGUUCCGACCUGCACGAAUGGCGUAAUGAUGGCCAGGCUGUCUCCACCCGAGACUCAGUGAAAUUGAACUCGCUGUGAAGAUGCAGUGUACCCGCGGCAAGACGGAAAGACCCCGUGAACCUUUACUAUAGCUUGACACUGAACAUUGAGCCUUGAUGUGUAGGAUAGGUGGGAGGCUUUGAAGUGUGGACGCCAGUCUGCAUGGAGCCGACCUUGAAAUACCACCCUUUAAUGUUUGAUGUUCUAACGUUGACCCGUAAUCCGGGUUGCGGACAGUGUCUGGUGGGUAGUUUGACUGGGGCGGUCUCCUCCUAAAGAGUAACGGAGGAGCACGAAGGUUGGCUAAUCCUGGUCGGACAUCAGGAGGUUAGUGCAAUGGCAUAAGCCAGCUUGACUGCGAGCGUGACGGCGCGAGCAGGUGCGAAAGCAGGUCAUAGUGAUCCGGUGGUUCUGAAUGGAAGGGCCAUCGCUCAACGGAUAAAAGGUACUCCGGGGAUAACAGGCUGAUACCGCCCAAGAGUUCAUAUCGACGGCGGUGUUUGGCACCUCGAUGUCGGCUCAUCACAUCCUGGGGCUGAAGUAGGUCCCAAGGGUAUGGCUGUUCGCCAUUUAAAGUGGUACGCGAGCUGGGUUUAGAACGUCGUGAGACAGUUCGGUCCCUAUCUGCCGUGGGCGCUGGAGAACUGAGGGGGGCUGCUCCUAGUACGAGAGGACCGGAGUGGACGCAUCACUGGUGUUCGGGUUGUCAUGCCAAUGGCACUGCCCGGUAGCUAAAUGCGGAAGAGAUAAGUGCUGAAAGCAUCUAAGCACGAAACUUGCCCCGAGAUGAGUUCUCCCUGACUCCUUGAGAGUCCUGAAGGAACGUUGAAGACGACGACGUUGAUAGGCCGGGUGUGUAAGCGCAGCGAUGCGUUGAGCUAACCGGUACUAAUGAACCGUGAGGCUUAACCUU
This 2902-nucleotide ribosomal RNA is filed under the name Escherichia coli OK1357. RNAcentral describes it as "bacterial LSU rRNA". It matches the Rfam family "Bacterial large subunit ribosomal RNA". Lineage: Bacteria; Pseudomonadati; Pseudomonadota; Gammaproteobacteria; Enterobacterales; Enterobacteriaceae. RNAcentral also lists the same sequence under 1 other name. The record is from RNAcentral.